Rhipicephalus sanguineus (brown dog tick) is the source of this 433-nucleotide long non-coding RNA. RefSeq lists it as uncharacterized. The record is from RefSeq and is a predicted model, not a curated record. The transcript has 3 exons. Lineage: Eukaryota; Metazoa; Arthropoda; Arachnida; Ixodida; Ixodidae.
CACUGAGAUAACUUUUUUUGUGUUCUCGUUCUGUUCUAGGGUGCAAGCAACGUGUCAUUGUGGUUAGAAAAAAUGAAUCAGUAUACAUGUGAUUUAACUGUCAAAGCCGGAAUGUUUAAAGCAUACAUCCCGCCCAAGGCAUGCUGGGAUGAUCUCCUAUCAGGCAGCUUGGAAACUUCCAGACGCCGAUAUGCCUUACGUUCGGUGCAGCCGAGGUUAUGAACUGUCAAGUGGAAUAUGCCCCUUGAGGAAAACAAUUAGGUACGAGCAUAUUCAAGCUCCACGUGAAAUGCCAAGUAUGGUCACUGAAAAAUGAUCGACUGUCCAGCGAGGAGAUUGCGGAAUCAGCAGCUGACAUAUUGACUGAUGAAACAUGAUGGUGCGUGCAGCAAGAGAGGGCUUGACUGCAGAUCCCGACCACCUGCUCCUGUAA